UACGGAGGGUGCAAGCGUUGUUCGGAAUUAUUGGGCGUAAAGCGCACGUAGGCGGCUCUUUAAGUCUGUCUGUGAAAGCCUGCGGCUCAACCGCAGGAGGCCAGGGGAUACUGGAGAGCUGGAGACAGGUAGAGGCGAGCGGAAUUCCGGGUGUAGCGGUGGAAUGCGUAGAGAUCCGGAAGAACACCAGAGGCGAAGGCGGCUCGCUGGACCUGUUCUGACGCUGAGGUGCGAAAGCGUGAGGAGCGAGCAGG
Molecule: unclassified non-coding RNA, 254 nt
Filed under: uncultured Gemmatimonadota bacterium
Lineage: Bacteria; Pseudomonadati; Gemmatimonadota
Description: uncultured Gemmatimonadetes bacterium contains 16S-23S intergenic spacer region
Rfam family: Bacterial small subunit ribosomal RNA
Source: RNAcentral